This 497-nucleotide ribosomal RNA is filed under the name uncultured bacterium. RNAcentral describes it as "partial 16S ribosomal RNA". It matches the Rfam family "Bacterial small subunit ribosomal RNA", at positions 38 to 507 of the family's 1533-position model. The record is from RNAcentral.
GGGGGGGGGGGGGGGGGGGGGGGGGGGGGGGGGGGGGGGGGGGGGGGGGGGGGGCUGGGGGCGCUGGGGUUGGGGGGGGGCGGGGGGGUGACGCGUGGGGAACCUACCUAUCGGACUGGGAUGACUUCGGGAAACCGGGGCUAAGACCGGAUGAUAUGUUGCACCGCAUGGUUCACGAGUGAAAGACGGUCUUUCUGUCACUUAUAGAUGGAUCCCCGCUGCAUUAGCUAGUUUGUACGGUAACGGCUUACCAAGGCAACGAUGCAUAGCCGACCUGAGAGGGUGAUCGGCCACACUGGAACUGAGACACGGUCCAGACUCCUACGAGAGGCAGCAGUCGGGAAUCUUCCGCAAUGGGCGAAAGCCUGACGGAGCAACGCCGCGUGAGUGAUGAAGGUCUUCGGAUCGUAAAACUCUGUUAUUAGGGAAGAACAUAUGUGUAAGUAACUGUGCACAUCUUGACGGUACCUAAUCAGAAAGCCACGGCUAACUACGUG